UCGGCUUCGUUUGGCCAAUUUUUAGAGCCAACGUUUACUCCAGGGAAUACUCUGUAUAUUGUUCUAUCUCGGUGUAGGUCCAACCAUCCAGUUUCUCGAAAACAGUUUUAGUCAAUGUUGGGCUGAAACCCCUUAAACUUACUAAGUAGCGUUCUUCCUUUGUUGAAAUCUCAUUUCAAUGACGAUGUAUUGUGUUGCGUGUUGGUUAAGGUGAAGCAAGGAAAAAACCAUUGACGGUGUAUUUUGCUGCAUGUUUCAGUCAAUUUGUUGGACAAAUUACAUGUAUGUGUUUUCUCGAGCCCACUGAUUUCAGUCUCUCCGUCUUCUUCCCCUCCCCACCAGCC
Molecule: long non-coding RNA, 344 nt
Filed under: Hordeum vulgare
Lineage: Eukaryota; Viridiplantae; Streptophyta; Magnoliopsida; Poales; Poaceae
Description: long non-coding RNA (HVUL_LNC005183)
Source: RNAcentral